CCCCACCUCUGUCCCGUCACACGUCCUCGAACCCCCACGCUCACCGCUCGCACCCUCAAUCCCUGCCUCCCCGGGGCUCCACGGCCCCGCUCCUGCCACCGACUCCUUCCACCACCUCCCUGCCGCGGCAGCGCCUGCUGCCCUCGGCGUGCCCUGUGCCCGCCUUCCCUGAAGGCCACCCUGUGUGGCCGCGGCCCCUUGGGCUCCCUCCAUGCCCCCUGAGGUCCUCAACUCACCCCCCAAGCUGUGGCCAGUCUCCAGCCCCGAGGGCUGGCCCCGAGGGAGGAGGAACGCCCCCAGAGCCCACCUUUGGGGCUUGGCCCCCAGCCCCAGACGCCCGUGCCCACAGGCAGUCAGGGGCUCCACCGCAAGCAGCUAAACAUGACUUUGGUAAAAGUUUCUGAAGGUACCGACAAACCCCGUGAGAACAAGCUCUUCUCCCCCCACCCCCCAAACACCCCACCAAGUACAAUAAAAUACAAUAAACUCCAAAAAGGACCCCCUGAGAUCAAAGAGAGACAGAGAAAGACAGAGAGAGAGAGAGAGAGAGAGAGAGAGAGAGAGAAAGACCAGCCCAGGUCCAGCUGUAGUCAUAACGCCCAGCCCGCCUUCCUGGGGCGAAGACACCAGCCGACCGACUCGCCGUUGCUGGAGACCUAAGUGGACCCAGGGGUCCCCCCCCCCUCACCCCUGGGGGUGGCAGAGCCCAGAUCUGGGACAGGAGAGAGGCAGAGGCAGGGAAGGAGGUGGGGAAAGCCAGAGAGGUAGACAAGGGAUGAGAGAGAGGGGAUAGACACAAGGAACGUGUUCGCAGAGGGGAGGCAGAGGGGACAACACACAGCGGGUGGGGUGGGGAGGGAAGGGGCAGGACGGGCGGCUCUCUCCCGGGCCCUGGGGGCCGCCCCAGCCCAGAGGUUACGACUGAAUAAAUAGCGAGUCUGCUCGUGGCCUGCUGUCUUCCGUUCACAGUGUCUGUCAGG
RNAcentral lists this long non-coding RNA (980 nucleotides) under Lynx pardinus (Iberian lynx). The record is from RNAcentral. Lineage: Eukaryota; Metazoa; Chordata; Mammalia; Carnivora; Felidae.